Molecule: long non-coding RNA, 425 nt
Organism: Limanda limanda (common dab)
Lineage: Eukaryota; Metazoa; Chordata; Actinopteri; Pleuronectiformes; Pleuronectidae
Exons: 3
Source: RefSeq, a predicted model, not a curated record
AUUCCCGAUUACUUUCUUCAACGAGAAGACUAUUUCGCCGGGAAGUUCCACGAGUUCGGGGAGGAUCUGGUGGCCGCAGGGAAAACCUUAUUUGGCAAGCAAAGCUUUUCCUCCUUCCUGGGCCAGAUAGUGAUUUUCUGCCCCCAACAAAAACACUUGAUGAACUUGCUAAACUUGGAUUAGGAAAACCUGUGCAAGAUUCAGCAGACAGCCGCACAAACUCGAAGAUUGGGUUGAACUGGAGUCUAGCGGAAUUAAACAGCUUUGUUUGUCACAGCUACCCUCACAUAAGCUUAAAUUUGGUUGGGUUUGAAUUGGCAAGAACAGGCAAAGGACGCAAAAUCCAGAUAUUGAAUGUUCGUUCUGUGAGGGAACUAAAAACAGCUGUUGGCAAAAGCAGACUUUACAUCGUGCCACGAGCCACU